Long non-coding RNA from Lytechinus variegatus (green sea urchin), 1288 nucleotides. RefSeq lists it as uncharacterized. The transcript has 2 exons. The record is from RefSeq and is a predicted model, not a curated record. NCBI's taxonomy places the organism in Eukaryota, Metazoa, Echinodermata, Echinoidea, Temnopleuroida, Toxopneustidae.
UGUUGGAUUUUUCUCUUUUUAUUCCUUUAAGCAGCAGGUUGCAAUUGUGCUAGUCUUGUGUGAAAACCCACUUGUUCAUCAAAGUAUAACAGCAAGUUGGAAUUGCACUAGGUUUGUGUGAAGACGUACUUGCUGAUGUAGAUCAAAAUUUCAAUUAGGGUCUUUGCCUGCAGACUAAGUAGUCCCCCAUUGAACAAAUACUUUGCGAUAGAUAUAAAAUAAAGCUCAAAUUAUGAUUGAUCUCAUAACUGCGUUAUUAUAAGGUAAGGAUUUAUUUCAAUUCUAAUUUGAGUUGACAAAUCUUUGUAAGAUGGAGACCAAAGGCUGGUUAUUGGCAACUUUGACCUGUAUUCUGAAGUCUAGUUUUAUCUUUACUUGGCUCUUUCCUUGUGUUCAAAUGAUGAUUGGAAUAAUUUCAGUAAUUAUUCCUAGUCAUUUAUGAAUGAUUCGAAUGUCAAAUGAUCUGACAAUUUUACAUGUGCUGUUAGAGAUACCUGUCAUAAGUCACAACUGGCUUUCCAAAGUUGAAUCACAACUUUAGACAACAGUUUAAAUUAAAUCUGAGCUUAGAAUACGAACCAUAGUAACUAAUUGUGACAUUAAACAGUAAAACAUGAAACUUACUUUCAAUGAUCAUAACAUACAAGACACAAAAACUUUCAAUAGCAAAAUAGGAUUUAUAUCAUAUGACUAGUUUUAAAUACACUAAUAACAUAACAAAAAUUCAUGAAAAUUUAAGAUUUGCUUUGUGUUUCAUUAAAGCCACUCUCUUUGACCAAGUUUCUAUUGGAAUAUUAACCUAACUUUUCUGUGACCUCAAUUCAACAUUGUAAAAUCUAAUCAGAUAUGAUUCUUGCUUAAUUAUGAAUAUGUGAGCCAAAUUUGAAAUUAAACCUUCAAAAUGUUUAAAGCAUAGGUGACAUUUUUUCCAAUAAAAAACAACACUUUGCACGGCUUUGUGCACGAAAUGACAUGAUCAAUUGAGGUUCUAACUUAAAAAGUACUGAAAGUACUGAUUUGAUUGUGUUAAAAAUUUAUCAGUCAAUUGUAAAUUUCUAAUUCCUGCCUCCACGAGCCAGGUGCCUGUUCCACAAAUCUAAUCCAUGAGACAUUGACAAAAAGAUACAAAGAGAAUCCAUAAAAAUGAUGUCAUCAAUUGGGUAAUAAACAACAUAUAAGAAUUUUUAGCAUGUAUGGAAAAUAAACAUUAAUGAAAGGGAGUGAUUGAUGAAAUAACCGCAAUUCCUCUUUAUCCAUUCAUCCUUUUUCUCUUUUUUUUAUAACUAAA